RNAcentral lists this ribosomal RNA (423 nucleotides) under Gongronella sp. Its description in RNAcentral is "LSU rRNA". It matches the Rfam family "Eukaryotic large subunit ribosomal RNA", at positions 331 to 670 of the family's 3401-position model. Lineage: Eukaryota; Fungi; Mucoromycota; Mucoromycetes; Mucorales; Cunninghamellaceae. The record is from RNAcentral.
AGACCGAUAGCGAACAAGUACCGUGAGGGAAAGAUGAAAAGGACUUUGAAAAGAGGGUCAAAUAGUACGUGAAAUUGUUGAAAGGGAACCGUAUGAAAGUAGACUGGCUUGGUGAUGAUCAAUGUGUGUUUCGGCACGCAUGCACUCAUUGCCUUUGCCAGCCAGCGGCAGUUUUUGCUAAAGGAAGAAAAUCAGGGGAAUGUGGCUUCGAUUUCGGUUGAAGUGUUAUAGCUCCUGGUAAAAUACUUUGGCAGAGACUGAGGCUAGCAGUGGGUUUUUGGGAACUUUGCGCGCUUGUCGUCCAAUGGUCAAGUUUUCUUCGGAUGCUUGGCUAUUGGGUGGCAACUCGUGUGAUGCUUCACCCUCCCGCUUAGGUCGCUGGCGUAAUGCUUUUAUAUGACCCGUCUUGAAACACGGACCAAG